CCUCUGCCCCUGGGACCCUGGGUUCUAAUAGAAAAGCUUUACGUUUAUCUUGCCUGGGGCUAGGUCUUCAUGCCUCUCCCUGGCCAUUUCCAAACCAAGGCCCUCCUUCUCCUUUUACUCAAAUGUAAAACUCCAUCUCUGGGACCCUGGCCUCUGAUAGAUGAGGAGACUGAAACUAAGUAAAAUGACAUGCUCAAGGUACCCUGAUUAAGAACUUCUGGAGUCCAUGGCUUUAAACUUUAAAAUCUCUAAACUCUAGGUAGGUUUAAAUGCAUAUCAUUAUUGCCUUUUAUGUUCACAACAUAGUCAUUUCUGGAUAUCCCUCCCCAACAACCAUCCCGAAAUUGUACCCUCUCUUGUAUGAUUUACUUAACAAGUGUUUGUUAAGAACUUGCCAAGUAGUGUGCUAGAUACUAGGAAUACAAGUACAAUGACUGCUAUAAUCCUUACUAUUGCUCCUGCUUUUUUGGGGGGUCAUCUUAGCCAACAGGCUGAGUGUCAAGUGAAACCUCAAAAUUUGUAAAUGUGCAUUUAUAUUGUUAGUGUCUUCAUAUAUUCAUUGAUAGUUUCUGAUAUACCUUUUGAAAAGUGUUUGCUCUUAUAACUAAGUCCUGAUAAGAAUAAAUGAAUCCUGUAAAGUGGUCACAUUAUUUAAAUGUACAUUGUACAUUCCACUGGAUUAUACUCAGUUAGCACUCUUUGGCCACUUACCUAUUAAAGAAUGUUUCUGCGUGAUAUUUGUUUGUCUUAUAUAUUUCUGCUCCACCAACCUUGUCAUUCUGAAUGAUCCUUUUCUCCCUACAAUCUUCUCUUGCAGGUAAACCUCUAUGUCCCUGUGUCCCCUCCAUAUGAUUGGUCAUUUCUUCCCAGAAUCUCCACUUUAAGGAGGAGCCCCUAGGCUACCCAUGUUCAUUCAUUCCUUUCUAGGCCUUACUUACAACUCUCCAGAAUUCUUUCUCCCCCAUGCCUCUGCCUGCAUGGGUCCCCCACUCCCACCCCCAGUUUUCCAGCUACUUUGUUUUUUAACGUGUUGUCUUCUCCAAUUAGAGUAUAAGCUCUUCAAGGUGAGUGACUGCCUUUCUUUUAUUUGUAUCCUCACCACUCAGUACAGUACUGGGCACACAGUAAUUGCUUACUAAAUAUUUAUUGAUUUAUUGGCUUGAAUUAUCUUGGCUCUCAGAUAUUUAUUAAUGAUACACAAAACAAGGAAUUUUCCCCUCCACUCAACAGUUUCUUAUUCAUCCUUACUGAUUUUUUUUCUGCCAAUGUUUUUUUUUUCAAUUUUAUGAACUCCAAAUUAUCUAUUUUAUCUUUGAUAAUAACCUCUGUCUCUUUUGGUUAAGAACUCUACCCUUAGCUAUAUUUGUGAAAAGCAUUAUAAUCAUGAUGAAGAUAAUAAUAAUAUA
Phascolarctos cinereus (koala) is the source of this 1406-nucleotide non-coding RNA. NCBI's taxonomy places the organism in Eukaryota, Metazoa, Chordata, Mammalia, Diprotodontia, Phascolarctidae. The record is from RefSeq and is a predicted model, not a curated record.